Molecule: ribosomal RNA, 492 nt
Filed under: uncultured bacterium
Lineage: Bacteria
Description: partial 16S ribosomal RNA
Rfam family: Bacterial small subunit ribosomal RNA
Source: RNAcentral
AGUGAACGCUGGCGGUAGGCCUAACACAUGCAAGUCGAACGGCAGCACAGUAAGAGCUUGCUCUUACGGGUGGCGAGUGGCGGACGGGUGAGGAAUACAUCGGAAUCUACUUUUUCGUGGGGGAUAACGUUGGGAAACUUACGCUAAUACCGCAUACGACCUACGGGUGAAAGCAGGGGAUCUUCGGACCUUGCGCGAUUGAAUGAGCCGAUGUCGGAUUAGCUAGUUGGCGGGGUAAAGGCCCACCAAGGCGACGAUCCGUAGCUGGUCUGAGAGGAUGAUCAGCCACACUGGAACUGAGACACGGUCCAGACUCCUACGGGAGGCAGCAGUAGGGAAUAUUGGACAAUGGGCGCAAGCCUGAUCCAGCCAUACCGCGUGGGUGAAGAAGGCCUUCGGGUUGUAAAGCCCUUUUGUUGGGAAAGAAAAGCAGCAGGUUAAUACCCCGCUGUUCUGACGGUACCCAAAGAAUAAGCACCGGCUAACUUCGUG